GUAUUUAGCUCUUCCCCCUCCCCCUUUUUUUUAACAGAAGAAGAAACUGAAGUUAAGGGGCGUUAAGCGACUCGCUGUAGAUGACACAGCCAAGGAGAUAGAAGUGGGGGGAGGUCAAGGAUGAAGUGGCAGCUCCGGGAGGCUCAGUCCCCGCGGACCCUGGGGCCUGCGGAGCGGAGCUGUCAAGGGAGAGGCACCUGGUCCCUGCUGGCGCUGCCAGGUGGGGUCGGGGAGCGGAUGGAGAAUCGCUCCGGCAGGCAGGUUCGCUAGGCUGGUGUCGGGCGGCCAGGCUGCCCUCGGCCGGCCAGACCGCGUUUCCCUGAUCGGCCACCAGGUGGCGCCGCCCGACCGCGCGGGCCUGCUCUCCGGGGCCGGCAGGUGGCGCGUCCUCUGCUCCGCUCCCGGCCGCUCCACCUCCUCGUGCCUCAGAGGACCGGGCCUCUGGGAGCGGAUGUCUCCCGCUGUGGUCCCCCGGGAAGAGGAGCAUCAGACCACCCUCUUCCUCUGUGACGCUCUGAGAGGGGACCUCUGACUUCUGUCCUCGCCGCGGUCCCCGAGGAGGAGGCUCCUCGGACCUUCCUUCCCAGGGGUGGACACGGGGGAAGGGGCACCUCGGACCCACGUCCAGCGAGCAGCCCUCUCAAGAGGGCGCUUCGGACUCUUGUCCUCACCAUGGCCCUGCGAGAGGGGGCGCCUUGGACCGCUGUCCCCAAUCCUUCAAAUUUCAUGUCCUGCCAAGCUCCUGCCAGUGCCUGAAAUGUUACCACUUGAGCCUCUUGACAGGUGGUGUCCUGUCAAUAACUCCCCCGUUCGCUCGCCUUCACCCUGGGCGCUUCCUUCUCCGAUCCAUCGGCCUCACUCCGAAGGGCAGGGCUUUUCGGCAGAGGGUCUGGAGCUUGCAAGAAAGACCUAGUAGCUUCUACAAUAGGUCCAGCCACGCUUCCAUCAGGCACUGAUCCCCUCCUGCCACCUCAGCCUCUGCACACACGGUGAAUAAGCUCAGGUUGGAGUCACAAGGAACAAGAUCCACGCCCUGGUUUCUGCCAGGUGCUAGGACUGCCCCUGUCCAGAGAUGCCCAGACAGAAGGUGACUGACAGAAAGGGUCAAGAGCAAGGCAGUCGGAUGCCAGCCCAGAAACUUCCCCCGGAGCACCUCUCAAUGCCGUUCUGACCGGGAAGCCGCGUUGUGGCUAAGUGGUUAAGACUUUUGCCUGUGGAGACAGGCUGCCUGGCCAGCCUCGAAUCUUGGCAGGUUUCUUUACCUAUCAAGUCAACACCAAAAUAGUACCACAAAAGGGUUGUCAUGAGGAACAAACAAGAGAAUCCGUGGGAAGUGCUUUAGACCCAUGCCCAGCUUUGUAAGCUCUUAAAGAAAUCCUUGCUGAACCCAUUCCCAUGAUUAGGAGGCAAACUGGCACUUUUCAGCUUUCUCCAGCACCCCCUCGUUGCCUGUGGUUGGGGGAAGGUGGUAGAUCGCGAGGUGAGAGGCUGGGACCUGGUGUGUUCAGCAUGAGUUUGCAGGACACUCUCAGCGAGCCCCUGCUGAUGCUGGGGUGGUCCGGAUCUUGUGGAUCCAGGCAGUAUGGGCAGCUGGUGGGGCACCAGGUGACAUCCCAGCAUACACGGGAUGGGAGGCGUUCUUCCCCAGCUCCCCUCUUGGUACCCUGGGAUCCCUGGUAUUCUAUGUCCUUCUUUCCCAGCCUGCGCUUGUCACUUUCUUGGCUUCUGCAACACCACACUUGCCUGAUGCUCUCCUUCUCUCAUUGUCUUUUCUGGGCCCUCCUCACUGUCUCGUGUGCUUAGGGCUUACACCCCGGACCCUUCAUUUCUCUCCUGUCUCCACUCCCUCCCUUUGGCCUCAUCCAUUCUGGUAGAUAUAAGCACCAUCUCCAGUCCUAGCUGCACCCUAGAACUCCAGACCCACAACUGCUUCCCCAGCCCCUCAACUUGACAUGUCCAGGCUGGAGCUCUAAUCUCACCCUCUGGUCCUGCUCCGCCCCCUGCCGGGAGUGCAGCCCAGCCUUCCAGUUGUUCAGGCCAGGAGCCUGGGAUUGACUCGAGCUGUCUUGACUCGGUUUUCUUCUCUCUCCCACUCUGACCUGAGAGGCACAUGUACAGCUUUUCAGAAGCCCCCCAGUUUUGAGUGUACCUCCCAGAGAUUCUGAUGUGACUGUUUGCUGGUGGGGCCUGGCAUUUGUUUAUUUUAAAAGCUCCCAGGUGACUCAGGUUGCUUAUUCAUUCAUUCACUCAUUCACAAGCCUUUGUUCUGUGACCACUGUGUGCCAGGCACUAGAAGUCUAGCCCUUAAGCUGAGCACUUCUGAAGUAUAAGCACAUAGUGGGUACUCGUGUUUUGCUGGGUGAAGGUGCAUCCGAUGGAGGUGGUGACCCUGACCCCUCUCCCCCUAACAGAGAACCAAUAAGAUGGCUGGGUGACAGAGGGGCUGUGCAAGUCCUCAGACUCCCCCACCCACCAUAGUCCCUGUGUCCUCCCCCCACCCAGCUCCCUGGAAGCCAGGCGCACACCGCCAUGGCUGGCAGGGGGCUGUUCAGGGUCUGGCGGCCUGGGAAGCUCGGUUGUUGCCAUGGUGAUGAUGUGCGUCUGUUCAGCAGAGAACUUUGAAGUUGACUUGGAUGUGGGACAACAAAGGCGCCUCCAUCUUGGAUGCAAAUUGUGGCUUCCUUUCAUCCUCCUGGGCCCUUUCCUGCUCUGCUUUUGUUCUUGCCAUUUAGAUCAGAGAAUAAAACCCUUUCAAAUGUUGUAAAUUCAAAACAUAGGCAAUUAAGGGGCCUCUCAGAGGUUCAAGCCCCCCUUAGUCUCUUUAAGAAGCAGUUGCAUGUGUAGAAAAACAGAUGAUUGUGAAAAGGGAGUCAGCAUCUCCUGGAUGUUACAAUCCAACCAACAUCUACUGAGCGCCUACUGUGUGCCAGGCCCCGGGGGACUGGGGAUCUGGUGUGGUACAGGACCCACCAAAUCUCUGUUCCUCAGAGCUUACUUUCAGGACCAUGGCUCUGUGCCUCAGUUUCCCCAGUGUACAAGGAGGCUGAAGUAGCCCAGGGGUUUUCAUAUGGUGUUUUCUGAAACCCAGGCGAAGGUCCCAGUCGCUUCCCCCCAUUUUGGCCUGAAGAGCUUUGCUUUGCUCUGGUUUUAUGUACUCUGUUCCCUAUAAUAUUGUGUUUGAAGAAAGAAGUCCAAAACUGAAAAAAAAACCCAAAAAACAAAGGGUGGGAUGGAAAUGAAAACCACUGGUCAAGGAUUCCCUAAGGCUUUUUCUAGAAGGAAUGUUCUGUGAUGCUCACCACUAAGGAGACUGCAGAUUCCCCGGGCUGUUCGGCCACAUAGAGACUCACACACAGAAGGCAAGCUGCCUUUAGGAUGUACACCCACCUGGAUGGCUGACAUCCUGCCUUCAUUUUAAAUAAAGUAAGAAGCCUCAGACAGGGUUGGAAAGAGCAAAUCCUGUUACGUUUCUCACCCAGUAGACCCAGGGCUUCACUUCUAAGGCAUCUGUCCUUCUCAGACUCUGGACCCGCCCUCGCCCCUUCCUCAGGGAGCUUUGCCUGGCCGGCAGCCUGCAGGGCCCACGCCCUCCUCCGAGCUCCCCUGGCCCACCCUGGCCUCCACACAUCCACCAGGGAGGACCUGGGGCCUGUCUUGUCUCCCCAGCGGGACCACGUGUUCUCACAGCGCGAUGUGUCCUGAAGAAAUGUAAUUUGAUGAGCAACUGGGCGCCCCGCUGGUACUGCUUGUUCUCUGGGCCCUGCCCCUCACCCUGUACCUUGCCUCGGUUGUCUCCUGAAGUGCAGGAGAGCCUGGUGGGCAGUGCGCAGAGCCACCUGCCUUCCCUCCCUCGGCAGCACCCUCCCCUCCUCCUUCCCAACAGGUGACUGAGAGACACCAGGCCUGAUUACAGCGGUGACAUGAGUCUUUCCCAAAAGCCAUUUAUACUGUCUGGGUGGGGAACCGGGAAGUAGGUCGGGGACCAUGUUUUAUUGACUAUCUCUUGUCUUGAGGAGCCACAGGAAAGCUUUAUUAACACAACCAGACAAUCUCAUUUAGGGCCAUUGCACGGCCUGGGCCCACUCGAGGUUCAAGCCGGUAUUUUACCCCGGGCUGAGUCUUCUCGUAUUGAUUUCUUUAGAAGGCACGUUACCUUUCUCCCUGAAGGCCAAGCUGAUGCAAAGAGCAAAGAGAGAUUCUGGACUGGAGAACCACUUCUAGCAAAACACCCUGAGCUUGGCGAAGUCGCCCCCCCUGUGUGGGGCUGUUGAAAUUGUGCUCUGUGCUUGAUCAUCGUGGGAUCCAUCCAGAGAUCAGAGGCUCCCAGGGGGCUGAGGCCGUGUCUCCCACUUCGCUCUGCACGGUUCCAGGCGCACAGUGGGCCUGCAGUAGAGACAGGAGUAGGGACUGUCUGCUGCCGGGCAUGUAGGACAGCAGCCUCUUGGCGUCAACAGCUUUGGGGAACCCCUUCCUUCUGGUGAUGUGGAGGUUAGCGUCUCCAGCAUCCCAGGGCUGCCACCCAGCCCCUCCCUCACCCUCUGGGGAACGUGAGCUGUGGGGAGCAGAGGGGAUGGAGCAUGUCAAGAUCUGCCACAGGCUGGUGGGUGGGGCACACAGUUUACAACCCACCUUCUCAUCCGGCUGCCACAGCCCAGGGAUAAGCCCCGGAAGUGGGAACUGCUGCUGACACAUUUGGAGGAAAUGGCAUCUUUGCUUGUGAAUCUCAAUACAAGUGGUUUUCAUCCAGGGACACUUGGCCCCUGAGAAAUCCUCCAGCCACCAGCGAGAGGGAAGGUUUCCGUGGAGCACACACCCACACGGCCUUUUCACACAGCGUUUCCCUGAGGCUUUCGUAACUCCCCCACUCUAGAGAGGAGUGGUCCUCAUUCUCCAGAAGAGGGAGGAAGCCCUGCAGAAGGUGAUGACUGCCCACAGAUGGGUUUCCAGAAGGCGGACGGCCCGGGCGGGGCCCUAAGCAAGGCAGAUGGCGCCUGCCCACCUGGGUGGUGGACAUCAGUCUCCCUGGCCUUCAGGGUGGCCCUCUGCCCGAGGAUCCUGUGGCAUGGCUUCCCUUGGCAGUGACUCCACGUCACUCAGGCCUGAGGCCUAACAGUUCCCCCUUCCCACUCCCCAUUCCAGUCCUCCUCGAGCCUGGGACUUUGUUCUGAGCCCUCUUCCUCCCUCCUUGCCUCCGACAAGCCCACACUGCCACAUGCGCCCCGACAGCAGCAUUAACUUCCCAUCCCCCACUUGGGGCCUCCCACUCGCCCCAGAAUACCGUGGAGCCAUGUGGACUUGGAUAUGGGAUUUCACCCCAUACCUGUGGUAUAUUGAUGAGCGCCCCGCCCCCACUGCACCUACCUCCCUGAGGGCAGGACAACUGGUUUGCUCAGCACUAUGUCCUCAGAGCCUAGCACAAGGCUAGGCACAUAGUGGGUGCUCAAUAAAAAUGAAUGAAUGAACAUCAGACAACACAAGAGGGGCCUUAAAUAUGUGGCCAGACUUCAGGCCACAGGAAGGCCUCCCAGAGGAGGCCACACCCCUGGUGUUGGGCUGGAAGGCUGAGCCAGGGUCUGGACCUGGGAGGACCCACUGCUCACCAAAGGAAGGACAUAGGAAGGACCCAGGGAUGUGAGACGGGAAGAGUCAGAACAGCCCUUGCCGGGUACCAGACUCUCUGCUAAGUUCCUUACAGCCUUUAUUCAUCGCAAACCAUCCACAGAAGGUGCUAUUACUAUCCCCAUUUUACUGAGAAUCUUCUAGAGAAAGAUUGGCAGCUGCUUAAUUGAAGCAGAGUUCAAUGGACAGAAAACAAAAACACAGAUUUCUCCCUGAGGAAAACAACAAGACUUUGGAUUUUUGAAAGGAACUGAAGUUAUUUCCUAGGGAGUCGAGGUUUUUGGGGCCAGGAGCCAAGUCUGGGGGGCCCAGUGCCGGCGGGGUGUGGGGCUGGAGGGAGGCGAACUGGGGAUGAUACCCAUCCAUGGUUUCUACUUACUUUGUGUCCUUCCAGAACCUUCAAGGCUAUGCUGACCAAGGCGCUGAGACCAUGGACAGCUGGCUAGGACACGCCCACGGUGGG
Molecule: long non-coding RNA, 6082 nt
Filed under: Equus asinus (donkey)
Lineage: Eukaryota; Metazoa; Chordata; Mammalia; Perissodactyla; Equidae
Description: lncRNA (ENSEASG00005025109.1)
Source: RNAcentral